This 579-nucleotide ribosomal RNA is filed under the name uncultured bacterium. Its description in RNAcentral is "partial 16S ribosomal RNA". It matches the Rfam family "Bacterial small subunit ribosomal RNA", at positions 355 to 932 of the family's 1533-position model. The record is from RNAcentral.
UGGGGAAUUUUGGACAAUGGGCGAAAGCCUGAUCCAGCAAUGCCGCGUGUGUGAAGAAGGCCUUCGGGUUGUAAAGCACUUUUGUCCGGAAAGAAAUCCUUGGCUCUAAUACAGUCGGGGGAUGACGGUACCGGAAGAAUAAGCACCGGCUAACUACGUGCCAGCAGCCGCGGUAAUACGUAGGGUGCAAGCGUUAAUCGGAAUUACUGGGCGUAAAGCGUGCGCAGGCGGUUUGCUAAGACCGAUGUGAAAUCCCCGGGCUCAACCUGGGAACUGCAUUGGUGACUGGCAGGCUAGAGUAUGGCAGAGGGGGGUAGAAUUCCACGUGUAGCAGUGAAAUGCGUAGAGAUGUGGAGGAAUACCGAUGGCGAAGGCAGCCCCCUGGGCCAAUACUGACGCUCAUGCACGAAAGCGUGGGGAGCAAACAGGAUUAGAUACCCUGGUAGUCCACGCCCUAAACGAUGUCAACUAGUUGUUGGGGAUUCAUUUCCUUAGUAACGUAGCUAACGCGUGAAGUUGGCCGCCUGGGGAGUACGGUCGCAAGAUUAAAACUCAAAGGAAUUGACGGGGUCAUAGCUG